Molecule: unclassified non-coding RNA, 380 nt
Filed under: uncultured Actinomycetes bacterium
Lineage: Bacteria; Bacillati; Actinomycetota; Actinomycetes
Description: uncultured actinobacterium contains 16S-23S intergenic spacer region
Source: RNAcentral
UCUCGGCUUAUCACCGGCAGUCCCCCUAGAGUGCCCAACUGAAUGAUGGCAACUAAGGGCGAGGGUUGCGCUCGUUGCGGGACUUAACCCAACAUCUCACGACACGAGCUGACGACAACCAUGCACCACCUGUGAACCGGCCCCAAAAGGAGAAGCCCCAUCUCUGAGGCGGCAGGGUGUAUGUCAAACCCAGGUAAGGUUCUUCGCGUUGCAUCGAAUUAAUCCACAUGCUCCGCCGCUUGUGCGGGCCCCCGUCAAUUCCUUUGAGUUUUAGCCUUGCGGCCGUACUCCCCAGGCGGGGCGCUUAAUGCGUUAGCUGCGGCACGGAACCCGUGGAAUGGAUCCCACACCUAGCGCCCAACGUUUACGGUGUGGACUAC